This 12367-nucleotide long non-coding RNA is filed under the name Gossypium barbadense (sea-island cotton). Its description in RNAcentral is "long non-coding RNA (GBAR_LNC002607)". The record is from RNAcentral. Lineage: Eukaryota; Viridiplantae; Streptophyta; Magnoliopsida; Malvales; Malvaceae.
UUUUUAUUUUUUUUUAUUUGUUUAAAUUCUAAAAUUAUUAUUUUAAAAUUCUCUUUUAUAUUAUAUUGUUUUAAAAUUUUGGAUAAUAUUUAUUUUAAAUUACCUUUAUAUUAUAUAUAUAUGUAUAUCUUAUGUUAAAAUUAGCUUUAUUCUAUGUACAUUAUCAAUUCCAUGUUGUUUUAUGUGUAUAUAUAUAUGUAUUUUUAUUUUGUUAACAAAAUCUAUUUUUGUAUAUAUAUUUCUUUUCAAAUCUAUAAUGUAUAUAGUUCUUUCCUUAAAAAAUAUUUUAUUGUAUAUCUUCAUUAUUUAAAAUCCUUUCAUAUAUAUUUUUUUUUACAUAUUUUUAAUUUUUUUUCCAUUAUAUGUAUGCCAUCAACUUUAAAUAGAUGUUUUGUUUUUAAAAUAUUGUGUACAUUAUUUACUCAAGACUUUUUUUUCCAUAAUAGCUAUUUGAAUAAUCAUUCAUAUAUUAGUAGUUUUUUACAUGUAAAUCAUUUCAAAAUCUAGCAUGUGUAGUUCAUUCGUAAAUUUUCAUAUGUUUGAUAGUUUAUAAAUUGUUUUAUAUUACAUUGACUCCUGAUUUUUAUAUUGUUUUGUAUGUUAUGUGUUGUUUUAGUUUUCAUAUUAUUUCACGUAUUAUUGUUUCAUAUUGUUUGUUAGUCUUUUGUACUAUUAUUUUAAUUUUUGUUCAUCUAUGUUCGAAACUUGUUAUAUUUUAUUCUAAUUUGUUUCUUGGAUGUGAGCUCAUUACUAUUGUGUGUAUGUUAAUUUGUUCUUUUUUGUUCACUUGUAUAAUAUUUCAUCUAUGUAUAUUGUUCCAUGUUUGUAACUUUGAUUUUUCUAUAUUACUGUAUUGUGAUUCAAAUUUCAAUGUUUUGAUUGAUAUUGGUCGUAUCAUUUUUAUUUCAAGUGAAUCAACUAAUGCGUUUUGAACCGGCUUUGUAAUUGUUUACGUGAAAAUUUCCCAAAACAAAGGUAAUGUUUGACGUUUGGAAAUUCGGGAAAUCGUGCCCUAAUGUGCCGGGUUUCAAUUUUUUCGUUUGUCCAAAAUAAUAAAAUAUCCCUUUAAAAUUUUAUCUGUGUUUUCUAAAUUUUAAAACAAGGCAAUGUUUUAUGUUGGGAAAUCCGAGAAAUCGUGCCCUAACGUGUUGGGUUUCGAUUUUUUCGUUGGACCAAAUAAUCGAAUAUCCUUUUGUAAUUUUCAAAUGUAUGAGCAUCAAGAAUUGAUAGUUUCGAGGGUAUAAAGGAUCGUGUCCUAACGUGCUGGAUGUGAUACUGUAUUCCUUCGAAACAAGAGAAUUUGAACGUCCAAUUUGAGUCAUUCAAAUGUUUUAAAAGAAAUUGUAUUUCAAAAUAUUUUUCUAAAAUUUUAUACAUAAAGACAUUAUUUAAUCAAUUUGGUACCAAUUUUGGGCGUAACGAGGGUGCUAACCCUUCCUCGUACGUAACCGACUCCCGAACCCGUCUUCUCAAAUUUCAUAGGCCAAAAUUGAUAUUUUAAUCAAAUGAUUUUAUUAGGUGAUCCGAUCACACCUAAACAAAAAGGAUUGGUGGUGACUCCAUAUUUCGUUUUAAAAAGUCGAUUCCUGUUUUUCAAAAAAAUGGUUUCGACAGCUUGGCGACUCCACUGGGGACCAAUAAGAAAAUCAAACCAUAAAAUUGAUUAUUUUCUGUCCUUUUGUCGAAAAUUGAAAAAUUGAUUUGAAAAAUCAUGAUUCUUUUGUCGUAUUUGUUUGUGAUCACCAUGAUUGUUGUUGUUUGAGUAUCAUAGAAUACUCUUGGAUUGCAUUGCAUGACCGUUGUGGUCACACAUUUUAAGUGGAAGUGAGAAACUACGCCCUCGUGAGGUUUUCACCUCCGCAUGGGCUAGUGGAUUACUUCCGGGAUACAUCCGUACCUAUGUCUUCGUGAGAUUUUCAUCUCUGCAUGGCCAUAGGGAAAUGUAUUCCCCUGAACUUAACUCGAUCCAUAUGAGCCUAUAAUGGGUGAAGAUUGAAAAAUCUGCUAGUUCAGGUACCCUUUCUCUAGAAUCGAGCCACAUAUAGUGAACCUUGAGAGUCCACCUUAGGUAGAACCUUGCCCAGUUUUAGUGGUCACCCGAAUAGGUACUUUAUUUGUUAUUUAUUUUUUCUGUACUAACGCGUUUUGUUUUUGUUUUGUUUCUAAUUUCAUUGCAUUACAUCACCAUAGAGAUGAGGUGUUGAUUCAUAUUUGAUUGCUAAAUAGAACAGUUUGUCAUAAGAAAACGAAUUUCUUGAUAAAGUGGAUUAUAAUACGGUUGUCUGAUUAUGAUCCAGGUAAACACAACGGAAGAAGGAUGAUAGUUCGCAGAGGAAAAACAAGACUUUACCUGAGGAUUUAAGUCGAUAAAGAUUAUUCGAGAGCCGUCACAUCUCGACUUUCUUAAAGGAGCUAACAAGCAUUGCGAGGAUAAGUGAGUAAUAAGUCGCGGCUUAGAUUAAACAAAAAUGAGCUAGUGGAGGCAUCUAUUGGAGGUUUGUGUGGUUCAACUUUUACAGAAAAGGGAUUGCCUGGAAUAUGAGGGCAAAGUCGCAUAUGUAAUCCUUUUUACGUAAAGGAAUUUGUUUUCUAGAAAAGUUGUUCUAAUAUAAUUGAAUUCAGAAUCAACGCCUUACUUUCUUUUGCAUUCAUUCUAUGCAUUUGCAUUGCAUUGCAUCAUGUGCAUUAAAAUUAACAAAAGAGCCUUAAUUAAUUAGAAAUCGUGUUAUAGUUACCCUGGAACAUCACUACUACACACGGAGAAGAACUAGAGUUAUAGAUCAAAAGCUGGAAAAACUGGAACAAAUGCAGAAAGAAAUGCAAGAUCGGCUGCAAGCACAGAUGCAAGAGCAAUUGGCUAAGAUUCAGCAGGAUAUGAAAGAUCAGAUGCUAGAAUCAUAGAAGAACAUGAUGAAUCAAUUAACCCAGUUACUGCUUAGAGGGCUAGGAAAAGGGAAGAGCCCUAUGGUCAACCCCGGGGAUGACAAUGAGGACCUUGUCUACUCACUGAGUUUUGCCCUAACAAACACCCCAGUGCAGCCCAACGCAUAUCCACUAAGGAUGUUUGUCAAUAUCAGUCCUCAGCAUCAAGCCAGCAUUUCAGCAUUAAUGCACUUUCCGACAGGCUCAGGCGCCAGAGACAAUCCGGCAAAUCUCGGUGUCCCUGAUUUGUAUGACAUGGCAGAGGUAGAAAAGGCAAAAUGAGAACUCCCAAAGUAGCUGGAAGAUCGAUACAAAUAGCUGGAAGAGAAGUUCAAGGCGUUGGAAAGCGCUGAUUAUCAGUGUGGUAUGGAUGCUAAAGAGUUAAGUUUGGUUCCGGAUCUAAUACUCCCUCCGAAGUUUAAAAUGUCAGAGUUUGAGAAAUACAACGGAACCAACUGCCUUGAGGCCCACAUCACGAUGUUUUGUCGGAGGAUGACUGGUCAUGUCAAUAAUGAUCAGUUUUUAGUUCACUGUUUCCAGGAUAGUUUGACUAGGGCAGCGACCAAAUGGUACAAUUAGCUGAAUCGCACCCAAAUUAAAUCAUGGAAGGACUUAGCACUGGUCUUUAUGAAGCAGUAUGGCCAUGUGACGGACAUAGCGCCUAACAAGAUCACGUUACAGAAUAUGGAGAAAAAGUCGAGUGAAUGUUUCAGGCAAUAUGCCCAGAGGUGGAGGGAAGUUGCUACACAAGUCCAACCAUCACUGCUGGAAAAAGAAACAACAAUGCUCUUCAUUAAUACUUUGAAAGCAUCCUUCAUUAAUCACAUGCUGGGCAGUGCAACUAAGAGUUUCACGGACAUAGUGAUGCCCAGUGAAAUGAUAGAGAAUGCGAUAAGGUACGGAAAGAUAGAGGCUGGGGAAAGCACCAAGAGGUCAGCCCCAAAGAAGAGAGAAAAUGAGGUUAGCAAUGUGAGUGUAGGUUAUGCAAAACCAAUCACGAUAAAACAACCGAAAAUGGUGGUUACGAGCCAGCAAGCUUCACUAAGGCAAGAGCCCAAUACAAAGUAAAGCAUGGAGAAGCUUCAGUUUACUCCUAUUCCAAUAACGUACCGAGAGCUAUACAAAAGUCUAUUUGAUGUGCACGUUGUAUCCCCUGUCUACUUAAAACCGUUGUAGCCCCCAUAUCCCAAAUGGUAUGAUGCUAGUACUCAAUGUAAAUACCAUGCGGGAAUAGCGGACCACUCGAUAGAGAAUUGCUUCUCUUUUAAAAAGUUGGUCGAAAGGUUCAUUGAAAUGGGAAUUGUGAAGUUCGACGAUUCCUCAGAACCUAAUCGCUCUAACAAUAGAGUAAAUACGAUAUUUGAAAGUAGGGGCAAAAGGGUUGCGAUGCCUUGAACAAGUCAGAAGGGGAAGUAACAUUGAGGAAUCUGAAUGACAUAUCUAAAGAGAGAAUCGGGGAAUAAAAAUUUCCAAAUCCUUGCAUACUUGGGAGUGUUUUGAACAAUGAGACUGUGGAAGAAAUCCCUGUAUUUUUAGAGCUAAUCUAGAGUAAUAUUCAAAACACGCUUGUUGCUUUAGGCCUAGAGGCAAUAAGAAUCCUUUUGUGACAUGGGCUUGUGUCCAGAAUUUUUAUUUCAAUAAAAUGUAUAUUUUUGAGUAAAUAUUUUUUCAUUCUUUCCAUUUCAUAGUAUACAUUCUUUUGUUCUUUGGACUAUCUUUUAAAUAUUCUUUUAUUCUUUAUUUAUGAUCGUAUUAUAUAAAUAAUCAUCCUUAGAAUCAUUUAUUCUUUAGAAAUAUGCCUUUGUAUCUACAAUAGGUCCUCAGAUAUCAACGAAAUGAGCAACGCUGUAACUGAAUCCCUUUUGGGGUAAGAUAUGUGUUUAAGCGGAUCUCAGGACUUUGAAGAUGGCAGAGAUUGUAACUUAUCUCUUAAUUGGUUAAGGAUGAUAGAAUAAGAUGAAAAACAGAUCCUACUUUACAAAGGGUCAGUAGACAUUGUGAGCAAGAAGUAAAGAUCGGAGCUUGAGUCACUACGAAAACAAAGCGAAUCGUCAUUGAGUUACUCUAAGAAUUCAAAGAUGUUUUCAUAUAAUCAUGACAGGAUAUGCCUGCGCUACUAAGACUUGUGGAUGCUAAAAAAGGUCCAUACUGGUGUUAGAAGGACACAUGCUAAUGAUUUCCAAGUUAAUCAUGAGGUUCGGUUACUGCUAAUCCACCAAGGAAAGGGAUUGUAUUAGUUAUGCCGUAAAUGACAAAUGAAGGAAUACAAGACUUAUGUGACACCUCCAUUUCUUCACAGAUUUUCUAUAUGUGGGGCAUGGAUGUUGUCAGGCCGUUCUCGUCUAAUAUACACUGACUCAUCUUGGUAGUCGUCGAUGUCUUCACGAAGAGGGUGAAGGUCGCUUUAUAUGCCAAUGUUACAAGGUCGAUAGUCAUAAAAAAAGGGUGUCGAUAGGUUAUAUCGAAAAAAAUCUUGUCUAAUACAACUGCACAAUGUCAAAAGAUUGCAAUCUGUUCAAAGAUCAAACACCAUAUCACAGUGCAGCAAAGGCAGCCAAAAAGAAAGAAACAAAAAAAAUAACAAAAAAAAGAUUGUGAAAGGUGAUUGAGACUUGUAAAGAUUGAUAUAAAAAAGUUACCGUUUACCCUCUAUACUUAUCAAACGUCGGCUAAGACCUCCAUCGGAGCAACGCCUUUCUCAUUAGUUUGUGGAAUGGAAAAGUUUUUUCCAUUAUCUAUUUUCUCUGAGUCCUACCAGAACUAAAGGUUGGAUGAGGUAGAAUGGAUACAAUCCCGAUAUGAUCAGUCGAAUUUGAAAGAUAUCCAUCACGGUCAGAUAAUGCAGGCUUGCGACAAAGGGGUUCAUCUUAGAAAAUUAGGGACCUGAUAUUGAAGAAGAUCCUUUCUAUACAAAAGGACUUUAGAGGAAAGUGGAUGUCGAACUAGGAAGGACCUUAUGUAGUACAAAAGGCCUGUUCUGAAGGAGCAUUGAUAUUGUCUGAGAUGGAUGGCAAGGACCUGCCCAAUUCAGUGAACUCAGAUUCAGUCACAGUUAAUAGUUUAAAAAAACACAGAAAAGAAGAGAAAAGAAAACAGGAGAGGCCAAGGCAAAAACCCGCAAAGGCGCCUUAAGACCAAAUGGGAUUUGAGUUGAAAACAUAAAAAGGGCGGCUUAAAUUUGGAUCAAAGUGGGGCAUACAAUAGUCUUGCUAUGUCUGAAUUAACAAUGAAGAAGUAUGCCACAUCUUGGGGCAUCGACAAAGUACUCCGAAUUCCUUAAACACAAAUUGAGCUCAAAAUGGUCCUCAAGAAGUUGGUACAAAGAAGCUCAAGCUGCGAUAUCUGGGGCAUCUAGUUUUCCAUUUUUACCCAUUUUAAAUUUUCUAUCUUUGAUUACCUUAUUCUUUUCAAGAUACGCCUCAACAAAUUUUCUUCUUAUUACGUUUGCUAUCUUUUGAUUAACAUACAUAUUUGUUGCGAGCUAUGCUCCCAAUUAUUUUCUCUUUUAUCCAUUGUUAUGAUAUUUUUCAAGCAUUUUGCAUUGAAAUAAUAAUUAAUGGACUAAUAAUACCUUCACAAAAAAGGUUCUGCAUAUUACUCUAGAAGCUUCUAAAUAAUACAAGAACCUGAAACAGAACUAUUGUUUAGAACUUACCAAACUUAAGGGUUGGAAAGAGGAGUCUAAAUUGUGACUAUCUCUUUAGAUUUUUUUUAUCAAAAGUAUCAAAUACAAGAUAUUGCAUCGAUGAUACAACCUCAAUGAAUGACGAGCAAUGUUCGGCCAAGCAUUAGAUGGGAUCAGCUCGAAAAAAAAUGGAUAUUUUGCAUACGCAUCUGGUUAUGUUAACUAGAGAUGGGUGUAGCAGAUCAUUUGAUUGAAGAAGAUGGUACGAAUCCUAUACCUCUAAGUUGCAGCAGGAUGGAUAGAAGAAACCAAAUGUUAUUCCCCUAAAGUUGCAGUGGGAAGUACAAACUUUAUAUCCCAGAAGGUACAGUGGAAGGGACUUUGAAACUACAGUGGGGCAAGCUUGCUGAGCAGAAUAGGAUUAUUUCUUUGGGUUUUUUUGUCAAGAAUACUAGCCAAACAAGAUGGCAGUGUAAUACGUCAGUGAUAAGGCCCCGAUGAACAACGAGCAAUGCUACAUUAAGCCUUUUAAAAAGGAUCAUUUACAUUUUUGCAUUCAUAUAUCAUUCAUGACACAUCUAGUUAGGAGCAUUGGAUUCAUUUCAAUCAUAGCAUCCUAAUUAUUUGACAUAGGCAUCACAUCUAGUUAACAGCAUUUGAUUCAUUUCGAUCAUAGUAUCCUAAUUAUUUAGCAUAAGCAUAGAUACAUGAAACCAAUUCUAUAGGUCAUGUCCCUAGAGGACAAUGUAGCAACAUCAAAAAAUUCAUGAGCCUUAAUCCCCUAAGCAGUAGGGCAACAGGCUAAAAAUUACAAAUCUUAUCUCCUUAAGCAGUAGUGGAGCAGAUCGAGGACGGUGAGCCUUAACCCCCUAAGCAGUAGGGAAACAGGCUGAAAAUUACAGAUCUUAUCUCCCUAAGCAGUAGUGGAGCGGAUCGAAGACGGUGAGCCUUAUCCUCCUAAGCAAUAGGGAAACAGGCUGGAAAUUACAGAUCUUAUCUCCUUAAGCAGUAGUGGAGCGGAUCGAAGACUAGCCUUAUCCCCUUAAGUAGUAAGGAAAUGGGCUGAAGAUUACAAAUCAUAUCUUUCUAAGCAAUAGCGGAGCAGAUUGAAACGAAAAGUUCUUAUACUCCUAAAGACGCAAUGGGUUAAAGCGAGGCUACCUGAAGAAAGAGAGCAUCAAGAAGUCAAGACUCAGCAAGACCGGGUAAAAUUGGCUUUUUUAAAGUCUUUGCUCCAUUCCCGUUACACGACAAUGAGCAAAGAGGGGCAGCUGUAGGUCCCAAUUUUCUCCUAGGCCUAACAAACCAAAUAAACCAAAAAAACAAAUACCCAAUUUUAGCCUAUUAGAACCCAAACAUAGCCAUUAACCUAUUACAAUAAAACAAAGCCCAAAUUUUUAAAAAAAAAAACCUAGCCCAUAAAAUUUUUUCAGUAAAGAGGGAAACCCUAGAUUUGCUGCCUCCCUUCAGCCACUAUGUGCCCACAUUCAACAGCCACUACCCAUGUUCUCCACCACCACGCACCACGCACCUACGGACCAUGUCUAAGCCAUGUCCGCCAUACCUGCAAGUGUGCACAAAAAUAGUUGUAAAUGGCUAUAUAAAGCCACAAAUAUGUAAUGUUUUUUUGGUUACGGAGAAUACAAAAUACACACAAAAAUCAAUUGCAAAGAAACAAGUGUAAAAGGAAACUUAAGAGGUGAUUUUCGAUUGAUCUUGUUUGUUGACCUUGUUAGUUAUUUUGAUGUGCAAAGAAUAAUCAAAAGAAGAAGAACAUGAGAGCACUUACCAAACCUCCAUGGGCUUCGUCGGAGUUCUCCUCCAUUGGCAGAAUCAGCCAUCAUCUGCGCACUGUCGGCAACCGUAUAGUGGUGGUCUGGUGGUUGCACAUUUUUAGUCUGAAACCCUAGCAGAAAGGGUUUAAAAACUUUGGGUUUUCUAAAAGGCUUUUUUAAUGUUUUAAAAAAAAAGAAACAAAAUAAAGGUUUUAUUUAAUUUUAAAGCAACAUUUGGGGGGGGGGGGGAGAUAGCCCGCGUGUUGACCAUAUGGAUCCGCGCAUUUACCCCUUAAAUGAGUAAUUUGUGCGUUCAGUCGUUCCCCUUCGCGCCAGCUUUAAAUUAGCCCCUAUUUGCAUUUUAUUUGUUUUUUAAAUUUACCCUGGAGUUUGCGCACCAUUCCAAUUUAGUCCGCGCCUGAGUGCUGUUUUUUGGGGUUGGAAACAUUUGCAUUUUUAGCCCUUGUACAUUCGCGUGCAUUGCAUUUUGGUCCUUAUGUCAGUUUCAAUGAUUUAUUUUAUUUAUUAAUUAUCUCUGUUAGUUUAAUUUUAUUUCAAUUAAGUUUUCUUUUCAUUUCAAUAUGUGUAAUUCAUUAUUUUUUUUUAAAAAAAUUCAUUUAUUAUUCGUCUUUAAAAUUUUAUUUAAAUAUAUAUUUGGAAUUACUUUAAUAAUUUUACUUUUUUAUUUUUUAUUUAUUUGUUUAAAUUCUAAAAUUAUUAUUUUAAAAUUCUCUUUUAUAUUAUUUUGUUUUAAAAUUUUGGAUAAUAUUUAUUUUAAAUUACCUUUAUAUUAUAUAUAUAUAUAUAUAUUAUGUUAAAAUUAGCUUUAUUCUAUGUACAUUAUCAAUUCCAUGUUGUUUUAUGUGUAUAUAUAUAUGUAUUUUUAUUUUGUUAACAAAAUCUAUUUAGGUAUAUAUAUUUCUUUUCAAAUCUAUUAUGUAUAUAGUUCAUUCCUUAAAAAAUAUUUUAUUGUAUAUCUUCAUUAUUUAAAAUCCUUUCAUAUAUAUUUUUUUUUACAUAUUUUUAAUUUUUUUCCAUUAUAUGUAUACCAUCAACUUUAAAUAGAUGUUUUGUUUUUAAAAUAUUGUGUACAUUAUUUACUCAAGAUUUUUUUUCCAUAAUAGCUAUUUGAAUAAUCAUUCAUAUAUUAGUAGUUUUUUACAUGUAAAUCAUUUCAAAAUCUAGCAUGUGUAGUUCAUUCGUAAAUUUUCAUAUGUUUGAUAGUUUAUAAAUUGUUUUAUAUUACAUUGACUCCUGAUUUUUAUAUUGUUUUGUAUGUUAUGUGUUGUUUUAGUUUUCAUAUUAUUUCACGUAUUAUUAUUUCAUAUUGUUUAUUAGUCUUUUGUACUAUUAUUUUAAUUUUUGUUCAUCUAUGUUCGAAACUUGUUAUAUUUUAUUCUAAUUUGUUUCUUGGAUGUGAGCUCAUUGCUAUUGUGUGUAUGUUAAUUUGUUCUUUUUUGUUCACUUGUAUAAUAUUUCAUCUAUGUAUAUUGUUCCAUGUUUGUAACUUUGAUUUUUUUAUAUUAUUGCAUCGUGAUUCAAAUUUCAAUGUUUUGAUUGAUAUUGGUCUUCUCGUUUUUAUUUCAAGUGAAUCAACUAAUGCGUUUUGAACCAGCUUUAUAAUUGUUUACCUGAAAAUUUCCCAAAACGAAGGCAAUGUUUGAUGUUUGAAAAUUCGGGAAAUCGUGCCCUAACGUGCUGAGUUUCAAUUUUUCCAUUUUUCCAAAAUAAUCAAAUAUCCUUUUAAAAUUUCAUCCGUGUUUUCUAAAUUUUAAAACAAGGCAAUGUUCUAUGUUUGGAAAUCCGAGAAAUCGUGCCCUAACGUGUUGGGUUUCGGUUUUUUCGUUGGACCAAAUAAUCGAAUAUCCUUUUGUAAUUUUCAAAUGUAUGAGCAUCAAGAAUUGAUCGUGGUUUCGAGGGUAUAAAGGAUCGUGUCCUAACGUGUUGGAUGUGAUACUGUAUUCCUUCGAAACAAAAGAAUUUUAACGUCCAAUUUGAGUCAUUCAAAUGUUUUAAAAGAAAUUGUAUUUCAAAAUAUUUUUUAAAAAAUUUAUGACAUAAGGACAUUAUUUAAUCAAUUUGGUACCAAUUUUGGGCGUAACGGGGGUGCUAACCCUUCCUCGUACGUAACCGACUCCCAAACCCAUCUUCUCAAAUUUUGUAGGCCAAAAUUGAUAUUUUAAUAAAAUUUUUUAUUAGGUGAUCCGAUCACACCUAAACAAAAAAGAUUGAUGGCGACUCCAUAUUUCGUUUUAAAAAGUCGAUUUCCGUUUUUGAAAAAAAUGGUUUCGACAAAACUCUUUAAAAAUAAUUUAUAAACAAUUCAAAAUAUAUAAGGUGUAAAAAGAAUUUCAAAUACAUAAUAUAUGAAAACAUUAAAAUAAAUAAGGUAUAAAAAUUUAAAAUGAGUCGUUAUAUAAAAAGUUAAAAUAGAUAAUAACAAAAAUGUAAAAAUAAAAAAUAAAAAAAUAACAUUUUAAACAUUUUAAACCAAAUUAUAUAUAUACAUAUUUAAAAUAGAUAAAAUAUAUAUGAAUUUCAAAUAAAUAAUAUAUAUAAAAAUAUUUAAUGAAUGAUAUGAAAAACAAAUUAAAAAAAAUAACAAAUAGAAAGUAUAAAAGAGGUUCAAAAUAAAUAGUAAAAAAAAUGAUGUACACAAAAGUUUAAAAAUAAACAGCGUAUAAAAGUUUAUAAUAAUAAAAAAAUAAAAAAUAAAAACAUAUAUUUAAAAUAAAUAAAUAAAGCUACGUCAAAUAAGUAAUGUAUAUAAAAUAAAUCAAAUAAAAUAUAUUAAAUCAAAUUUUUUUUAAGAAAAAAUGAAUAAUAUAAAAUAAUUUACAAUAAUGAAUAAUAUAAAACAAGGAUAAUAAAUAACUUAAAAUAAAAAAAUUUACAAAAAUCGAAAUUUAAAAGAAAAAGGACUCAAAGGAAACAAAAACAAAAUCAAAAAGAUAUUUCCUAAAUAAAUAAACCAUUAAAACAGAAUUAAGGACUAAAAUAUAAUGCGCGCAAACAAGGGAGGAUUUAAAAAGAAAAUAUUCCCAAUUACCAAAACGCAGUGUUUAAUCGCGGAUUAAAACAAAACUGACACGAAAUUCCUGGGAAAAAUUAAAAAAUAAAAGGGAAUGAAUAUGGGCCUAAUCAAAUAGCAACGCAAAUGGGAGGGACUAACUGCGCAAAUAGCCCCUUUCAACAAAACAUGCGGAUCCUCCAUGGUAUCGGAUCGGGUCGCGCAGGUCAAGCCAAAUGGCGCCGUUUUGAUGCUUAUUACCCUAAGCCAAAACGACGUCGUUUUGGUAUUACUAUAUAAGCCAAUGUUUUGUCCAAAAAAUCAUUUGAGCCUUUAUUUUUUUUUAAAAAAAAAAAACCUCAAACCCUCUCAUCAGCUUCUCUUCAACCUCUCCUCCUCCGGCCAAGACUCCGGCGACGGACCACCGCACGCGCCGCCGUCGCCGAAAAAAGGUAAGUUUUUGUUAAAAAAAGAAACAACUAUAUAUAUAAUAGAUUCGAAAGGAAAAAAAAUGAAGAAAAUAAAAUAAAAUAAGACUAAAAGAAUACCCUUGGCCUUUAGAUCUUGCUUCUUGCCUGCUGUUUUUAAACUAUUUGGUGAGUUUUGAACCCGUUUUUUGUAUUCGAAAAAGUAUUCUCGUAUUGCUUUGUAUUCAUGUAAAAAACAUUGUUAUUCGUAGCCUUAUAUAGCCGAAUUACAACUGAAUAUCCGGCCUUUUGCAGGUGCGUAGGUAGACACGCUACUGACGUGGCAUGGUGGAGCGGCGCACGUCACGGAGUAACGUGCGGCGCGCGAGGGAGGCAUGGGGCGUGCGGCAGCUGAAACCCUUAGAUAACUUAGGGUAUUUUUGUUUGUUUGGUUUGGGCUUUUAGAGUUUGGGUUGUUUUGGGCCUAGGUUUGGUUUUAAUUUUAGUGGUUUGGGUUUUUAGUUUGUAUUUAGUUUUUUAAUUUUUGGUGAUUUGAGCCGGACAAUUUUGACCCAUUACAUAUAUAUUUAAUUUACUUUUAUCAAAAUAAUUAGAAAUUCAAAAGCAU